UACGUAGGGGGCAAGCGUUGUUCGGAAUUACUGGGCGUAAAGGGCGCGUAGGCGGCACGGCAAGUCGGAAGUGAAAUGCCUGGGCUCAACCGAGGAACUGCUUUCGAGACUGCCGAGCUAGAGUGCGGAAGUGGCAUCUGGAAUUCCCAGUGUAGCGGUGAAAUGCGUAGAUAUCGAGAGGAACACCUGCGGCGAAGGCGGGUUACUGGGCCGACACUGACGCUGAGGCGCGAAAGCUAGGGGAGCGAACGGG
RNAcentral lists this ribosomal RNA (253 nucleotides) under uncultured bacterium. Its description in RNAcentral is "partial 16S ribosomal RNA". It matches the Rfam family "Bacterial small subunit ribosomal RNA", at positions 524 to 776 of the family's 1533-position model. The record is from RNAcentral.